AUUGAACGCUGGCGGCAUGCCUUACACAUGCAAGUCGAACGGCAGCACGGGAGCAAUCCUGGUGGCGAGUGGCGAACGGGUGAGUAAUAUAUCGGAACGUGCCCAGUAGUGGGGGAUAGCCCGGCGAAAGCCGGAUUAAUACCGCAUACGACCUGAGGGUGAAAGCGGGGGAUCGCAAGACCUCGCGCUAUUGGAGCGGCCGAUAUCAGAUUAGCUAGUUGGUGGGGUAAAGGCCUACCAAGGCGACGAUCUGUAGCUGGUCUGAGAGGACGACCAGCCACACUGGGACUGAGACACGGCCCAGACUCCUACGGGAGGCAGCAGUGGGGAAUUUUGGACAAUGGGCGCAAGCCUGAUCCAGCCAUGCCGCGUGUGGGAAGAAGGCCUUCGGGUUGUAAACCACUUUUGUCAGGGAAGAAACGGUCCUUACUAAUAUUAGGGACUAAUGACGGUACCUGAAGAAUAAGCACCGGCUAACUACGUG
RNAcentral lists this ribosomal RNA (484 nucleotides) under uncultured bacterium. RNAcentral's name for it is "bacterial SSU rRNA". It matches the Rfam family "Bacterial small subunit ribosomal RNA", at positions 30 to 507 of the family's 1533-position model. The record is from RNAcentral.